Non-coding RNA from Pelobates cultripes (western spadefoot toad), 252 nucleotides. The record is from the annotation of a GenBank genome assembly. NCBI's taxonomy places the organism in Eukaryota, Metazoa, Chordata, Amphibia, Anura, Pelobatidae.
CAGUGGAGCUCUCCUGGUGUUGGUUUCCCCUUGUGGGACUCUACACAUCACCUACUCCUAUUACCUACAUAUUUUGGAGGGUUACCCCCUCAUUGGAGUAUUAGGUGGUUACAGUCAGUGGCGUCGCUAGGGGGGGCCAGAGGAGGCCAUGGCCCCCCUACAUCAGGCUGUGCCCCCCCUUGGGCCCCCCCAAAUGCCAGCAACUUGCUGGCCAUGUGUUUAAAUUACAUUCCCUCGGACUGUAACAGUGUG